AUUUCACCUUUCUCAGUAAUCUGGGUGUAGCUUAUUUUGACUCUUCCUUUGAUUAAACAAUUCAGACCCUUGGCUCUUAUUGUUCUUGCUGGUGUGGUAUGUUCACGGCUGAAAAGAUGGUCAGAAGGGGAAAGGAGGAAGUGAGAAGAAAGAAACAGGGAAAUGACAGAGUGUUGCUCAGUUACCCAGGCUGGAGUGCAAUGGCAUGAUCUUGGCUCACUGCAGCCUCCACCUCCUGGGUUCAAGCGGUUCUCGUGCCUCAGUCUCCCAAGUAGCUGGGAUUACAGCAGGCUGAGGAAUUACCAAGGAGGCAGGAGGUGGAGCAAAACACACCAAGCCUGGUGCCAAUCAUUGACAAUAUUAUGACCCUGCAUGUGAUGGAUCAGCUGACACCAUCCAGAUCGGUAAACUGGUUCAUCUGAUCUUGUGCCCUCCACCCAGGAACUGACUCAGCGCAAGAAGACAGCUUCGACUCCUUGUGAUUUCAUCCCUAACCAAUCAGCACUCCUGGCUCACUGGCUUCCCCCAACCCACCAAAUUGUCCUUAAAAACUCUGCUCUCCAAACGCUGGGGGAGACUGAUUUGAGUAAUAAUAAAACCCUGGUCUCCUGCA
Molecule: long non-coding RNA, 613 nt
Filed under: Homo sapiens (human)
Lineage: Eukaryota; Metazoa; Chordata; Mammalia; Primates; Hominidae
Description: PCED1B antisense RNA 1
Source: RNAcentral